AUUGCCCUAGUAACGGCGAGUGAAGCGGCAACAGCUCAAAUUUGAAAUCUGGCGUCUUUGGCGUCCGAGUUGUAAUUUGCAGAGGGCGCUUUGGCAUUGGCAGCGGUCCAAGUUCCUUGGAACAGGACGUCACAGAGGGUGAGAAUCCCGUACGUGGUCGCUAGCCUCUACCGUGUAAAGCCCCUUCGACGAGUCGAGUUGUUUGGGAAUGCAGCUCUAAAUGGGAGGUAAAUUUCUUCUAAAGCUAAAUACUGGCCAGAGACCGAUAGCGCACAAGUAGAGUGAUCGAAAGAUGAAAAGCACUUUGGAAAGAGAGUUAAAAAGCACGUGAAAUUGUUGAAAGGGAAGCGCUUGCAGCCAGACUUGCCUGUAGUUGCUCAUCCGGGUUUCUACCCGGUGCACUCUUCUAUAGGCAGGCCAGCAUCAGUUUGGGCGGUUGGAUAAAGGUCUCUGUCACGUACCUCCUCUCGGGGAGGCCUUAUAGGGGAGACGACAUGCAACCAGCCUGGACUGAGGUCCGCGCAUCUGCUAGGAUGCUGGCGUAAUGGCUGUAAGCGGCCCGUCUUGAAACACGGACCAAGGAGUCUAACAUCUAUGCGAGUGUUUGGGUGUCAAGCCCGAACGCGUAAUGAAAGUGAACGGAGGUGGGAACCUUUCGGGGUGCACCAUCGACCGAUCCUGAUGUCUUCGGAUGGAUUUGAGUAAGAGCAUAGCUGUUGGGACCCGAAAGAUGGUGAACUAUGCUUGAAUAGGGUGAAGCCAGAGGAAACUCUGGUGGAGGCUCGCAGCGGUUCUGACGUGCAAAUCGAUCGUCAAAUUUGGGCAUAGGGGCGAAAGACUAAUCGA
Molecule: ribosomal RNA, 846 nt
Filed under: Stagonosporopsis inoxydabilis
Lineage: Eukaryota; Fungi; Ascomycota; Dothideomycetes; Pleosporales; Didymellaceae
Description: LSU rRNA
Rfam family: Eukaryotic large subunit ribosomal RNA
Source: RNAcentral